This 497-nucleotide ribosomal RNA is filed under the name Drusus franzi. RNAcentral describes it as "partial 16S ribosomal RNA". The record is from RNAcentral. Lineage: Eukaryota; Metazoa; Arthropoda; Insecta; Trichoptera; Limnephilidae.
UUUAAAGUCUAAUCUGCCCCCUGAAAUUAUUUUAAAGGGCUGCGGUAUUUUAACCGUACAAAGGUAGCAUAAUAAUUAGGUUUUUGAUUGAAAUCUAGAAUGAAUGAUUGGACGAGAUGCAGGCUGUUUUAUAAUAAUUAAUUAAAAUUUAAUUUUUUAGUCAAAAAGCUAAAAUUUUAUUAAAAGACGAGAAGACCCUAUAAAUCUUUAUAAUAAAUUUAUUUUAAUAAAUUAUUUUAUUUAAAUUAAUAAUUUUAAUAUUAAGUUAUUUUAUUGGGGUGAUACAAAAAUUUAAUUAACUUUUUUAUUAGUAUUUUUUUAAUUAAAAAUUUAUAAAAAUAUGAUCUAUUAAUAAUAAUUCAGAGAAUAAGAUACUUUAGGGAUAACAGCGUAAUUUUAAUUUUAAGUUCUUAUUAAAAUUAAAGAUUGCGACCUCGAUGUUGGAUUAAAAUUUAAUUUAAAUGCAAAGGUUUAAAAAUUAAGUCUGUUCGACUUUU